CCUACGGGAGGCAGCAGUGGGGAAUUUUGGACAAUGGGCGCAAGCCUGAUCCAGCAAUGCCGCGUGAGUGAAGAAGGCCUUCGGGUUGUAAAGCUCUUUUGUCAGGGAAGAAACGGUGGGAGCUAAUAUCUCCUGCUAAUGACGGUACCUGAAGAAUAAGCACCGGCUAACUACGUGCCAGCAGCCGCGGUAAUACGUAGGGUGCAAGCGUUAAUCGGAAUUACUGGGCGUAAAGCGUGCGCAGGCGGUUUUGUAAGACUGUCGUGAAAUCCCCGGGCUCAACCUGGGAAUGGCGAUGGUGACUGCAAGGCUAGAGUUUGGCAGAGGGGGGUAGAAUUCCACGUGUAGCAGUGAAAUGCGUAGAUAUGUGGAGGAACACCGAUGGCGAAGGCAGCCCCCUGGGUCAAAACUGACGCUCAUGCACGAAAGCGUGGGGAGCAAACAGGAUUAGAUACCCUGGUAGUCCACGCCCUAAACGAUGUCUACUAGUUGUCGGGUCUUAAUUGACUUGGUAACGCAGCUAACGCGUGAAGUAGACCGCCUGGGGAUACGGUCGCAAGNUUAAAACUCAAAGGAAUUGACGG
Molecule: ribosomal RNA, 584 nt
Filed under: uncultured bacterium
Lineage: Bacteria
Description: bacterial SSU rRNA
Rfam family: Bacterial small subunit ribosomal RNA
Source: RNAcentral